Dunckerocampus dactyliophorus (ringed pipefish) is the source of this 1522-nucleotide long non-coding RNA. RefSeq lists it as uncharacterized. Lineage: Eukaryota; Metazoa; Chordata; Actinopteri; Syngnathiformes; Syngnathidae. The transcript is spliced from 4 exons. The record is from RefSeq and is a predicted model, not a curated record.
AUUUUUUGUAAGUUUAACAAACUUAAACUAUCAAGUUUUAGUCUCAGGUCACAGUGCUGCCCUGUUGUGAUUGGCUCAAAACUCAAGACAAGUCUGGGCUUGUCAGUUGGAGGUUACAGAGAAAGUUGCGCCAUUUUCACAGAGCAAUUUAAGGUCAUUGCACUUUGCAUGUUCCUAGGACAAUACAUUUCUGCCUGCAUUCUUCUGUUUUUAGCAAGAUUGGACGCUUAUAAAGGACAUUUGCCUGCUAUAAAGAGGAUACCAUUUUCUGCCUGAAUGAGGUGAGCUGUUUUCUCUAUUCAAGUUUUAGAAACUGCUGGAACAUUUCUAGUUUGAAACAUGGACGUUUGAAUGUGUGUAAAUUUGAGGUUGACUUAGGUCAAUUUUGAGCAUUGGACAAUUGCAGCAUUGUGUUUUUAGAGUAGCCCUCUCUACUUUGCCCUCCUAUUUUUGUUUAAAGCCAUGUUAAAAUGUCUUGGAAAGCAUGAGCCUGACAUCAGCCAGAUGGUCCAAAGCUGGCCAGCACUUUUCACUGAAAGCCAGGUGUACUUGGAGUUUAACAGGGUUGCUGGUAGAAAUCUUAAAGAAGAGUUCUUUGGUGUUCUUGAUGGUUUGUGUCCAAGCUUGAUGGAAAUCUUCAAGAGGAAGCCAGGUCGGAUAAGCAAGCAGUUAGCUGACCUGCUACAACAGACAAGGAGCACUGAGCCAACAGCCAUUAGAUGCCUUGUCCUGAGAGGACUUCCAGUCAUUCUUGGGGAUGAUGCAUCUAUGUUCUAGAAUUAAGAGCAGUUUGAAUCUUAAUGAGGGAGCCUCCGUGGGAAUCCUCUGCUAUGAGGACACCAGCACUGCAAGCCCAGCCAGCCCAGCAUUGCCACAACUAAACCCCUCAAGAGUGGGGAUCAUCCUAGAGGGUAGCCUUGUAAUGGAAGCACUCACCAACCUACCUCAGGCCAUGUGCCUCUCGUUUGGCUUUACCUAUGUACUCCACCUGCAGUACCCGAAGUGCUUAAAAAACACAUUUACCUUCAUUCAGCAGGUAAUGCUAAAUUUAGGUUGAAGUGAGCUACCUCCCAAGGUUCAAAAGCUGAAGAAUGAUCUUGCAGUGUAAGACACAUUUGUGCUCAUGGCACAAUUCUUCAGGUCCGUGUCUGGAUUGUUGCACAAAUACAUUGUACUGACUGGAGCAAAUAUUCUUGCAGUUGCUCAUUUUGUAUGUGGUUCUUCUUGUACUGGAUGUGUCUAGUAUUGCUUGUUUUACUGAAAUUAUUCUACAGAGGACACAUUUUAGAAAGUUGCAGGUUUUUUUUUUUUUUUUACCAACUCUGGUCCCCACUGCAUAGUUGUUCUUAAUGCCCGCUUUGUUGUGUAGCAGACAAAGCAUGCAGUUUUUUCCUUUUGCACUUGCAGUACAUGCUGCUACAUGAUCAGUGUUUUUGUUGUUGUUGUUGUUGUUUUUCAUUUCAUUUUAUGAAAACAAGGUCUUACUGUUAUUGUGUUUGUUGUGUUGUGUGUACAGUUUUUU